This 406-nucleotide ribosomal RNA is filed under the name uncultured bacterium. RNAcentral's name for it is "partial 16S ribosomal RNA". It matches the Rfam family "Bacterial small subunit ribosomal RNA", at positions 29 to 526 of the family's 1533-position model. The record is from RNAcentral.
AUUGAACGCUGGCGGCAGGCCUAACACAUGCAAGUCGAACGAGUAGCGGACGGGCGAGUAAUGUAGGGGAAACUGCCUGAUGGAGGGGGAUAACUACUGGAAACGGUAGAUAAUACCGCAUACCAUCGGAUGUGCCCAGUUGGGAUUAGCUAGUGGGUGGGGUAAAGGCUGACCUAGGCGAAGAUCCCUAGCUGGUCUGAGGGGAUGACCAGCCACACGGGAACUGGGACCCGGUCCAGACCCCUAGGGGAGCCAGCAGUGGGGAAUCUUGGCCAAUGGGCGCAAGCCUGAUGCAGCCAUGCCGCGUGUUGGAGGAAGGCCUUCGGUUUGUAAAGUACUUUCAGCGGGGAGGCGUUACCCGCAGAGGAAGCCCCGGCUAACUACGUGCCAGCAGCCGCGGUAAUAC